RNAcentral lists this long non-coding RNA (1070 nucleotides) under Homo sapiens (human). Its description in RNAcentral is "HSALNT0138632". The record is from RNAcentral. Lineage: Eukaryota; Metazoa; Chordata; Mammalia; Primates; Hominidae.
GGAAAGGGUCACAUGGUCCAAGAGAUGAUCCAGAUGUGGAAUUCCAGAAACUCUGGUCAGACCAAGGGGAAUAACUCCUGCUCACAAAGACUGACCUGUAACCCAGAUUUCCAGCUGGUUAGUCCACAUUGAGAUCCAUAACUGCCAGUGGCAUGAAUGUGUAUGUCAACUGUUCAAUCUGAAGAUACACCUUCUCCCACACUGCCAUGUUUUCACAUCUCUGACACAGGGAUUCCCAUCACAACCACUGUCAGUCAAGCAGCAGUUCUGACAUAGUUGCCGUUGCCUACACAUAGAUGGAUCUGGUUGUUACUUCUUGGGUGUCAUGCUUGAAAAACGGCGCAGCAACCAGUGAUGCUUCAGUGAGCAAACUCUGAGGACCCCUUGGGGGAAGGAAUGUGAAUCAUGAUUCCUGUCUGAAAACUUAUGUGGACAUCCAUUUGGUAAGAUCAAGAAAGCACUGAUCUGAUCUGAACUGGUGUUGGCAGCUUGAGAAAACUUGGAAAAAAUUAUUGGAGUGGAUUUCUCAGUGAAGCACGCUCUUCCCCUACUCGGCUCACUGAAGCCUCUGCCUCCUGGGUUCAAGCAAUUCUCCUGCCUCAGCCUCCCGAUGAGUAUCUGGGACUACAGGAUGCCAGGCAGGCAUCUGUAGCCUCUGUCUGUUGCAGAAGACCAGAACAUGUCACCCUAAGAUACGCCACUUUGGCAUAAAAGUUAUUUUGAGCUGAAGGCAAUCGAGAAGAAGCAGAUAUAAGAAAAGGUCUCUGCUCUACCCCAUUAGCCUAAAAGCAAGACAUAAAUUUACCAAGACUAUGAUGUCCAUCGUUACCUCUCUACCAGAAAGAACAAAGGUUGUUCACUGAAGGCAACUUUAGAUCCUUCUCAUCCUGGAGAUGGCACCGAAGAAUCCACAUGACAAAUUCCCAUUUCCUCGCCUUCCCUCAAUUUGCUAACCCUAGAGACUCACAGUACUUUUCCUUUGGUUACUUCUCUAACAAUUUGCUCUUCUUUGUUAAAAAUGCCAUAUAAAACCAGAGUUCUAAGAUACUUUGAGAAUUUCUCAUUUCCUG